Molecule: long non-coding RNA, 3009 nt
Organism: Thunnus maccoyii (southern bluefin tuna)
Lineage: Eukaryota; Metazoa; Chordata; Actinopteri; Scombriformes; Scombridae
Exons: 2
Source: RefSeq, a predicted model, not a curated record
AGGUUGGCGGUUCGCUUCCCUCCCGUAUCGACUUCUGGAUAAAACAGCCUCCCAUUUGUUUCCGCUAAGCGACAGCUGAUAUUUAAAACUCCGCAGAAACUGUAAACUUAACGGCAGAAGACGGAGGGAGCCGCUGAUGUCGGCAGACAGCCUUAUCGAUCAGCGAGCCAGGGAGAGUCUCACGUUCCUCCGGGCCCCGCCCACCCUAACCUUUACCGCCACUGGUCGACAGGUCCAUCAAUCAAAGUGACUGACGGCUGCGGCGGCCCCCUCAUCCCGCUGAUCAAUGGCGAUGGAUUUUCUCCUCUCAGACACAGAUAUUAUGACAUCUGAUGGUGAGGUGGUUAAUAUUCCUCCAUCUGACACACACACACACACACACACACACACGCAGAGUGAGGAGAGCGUAGGCGGAUAUCAAUCUCAGUGUCUGUUGUCUUAUCAAUAACACUUUGAAUGGAAGAUGAGAACAGGAGGGAGAAGGCCACCGGGGCCACACAUUCGUCUUUCUUGUCAAAACCUGCUGCAUACGUUACCCACAAUGCAAUUCAGUUGGAGAUCUAGCCUCCAACCUCACUUUCUUUCUAACUCCAGAUUCAUUUCAUUGUCAAACUUUUAGUCUUCAGCCUCGACCGACGCUGACUCGAGUGACAUCACUUGAGCUCCAUCUGUGACGGAGAAAGAUUUUACCCCAAAAAAUUUAGAUAAAAAAGGAAGAUUUUAAAUUUAUGGAGCCUGAGAGAGACCACUGAGAGAAAAAAACAAGUAAUAUUUUCUAACAGCUGUCAUUGAACACAACACACAAAUCUGAGAUGUGGGAAGGCUACCCAGGCUCUGCCGGAUAGUUCGUCCUCAGGAGCACAAACUUUUUUUUUUUUUUUUUGGGCCUUGAGUCACAGAGAGGCUGUCAGAGCAGGAGUAGAAGUUAGUUUGUUGUCAGUGGAGUUGGUGGAGUGUCUACACUGUAAACUGCGAGGCAAACAGAGCUGUGUGCAGCGACAACUCGUCUCGACACUCUCCAUACCGCAGCGUCUGACUGUAGGGAAUCAUUAUGAGCCAUCUGAGGAUGUUUAUUAAUGACCUUGGCAUGGUCGGAGGUUGGCUGCCAUGCUGUUAAUGCUAUUCACUGGCACACAGCGAACCAUGGCAGCGCACAAAGAGAGGCAGGGAGAGCAGAGGACAAGGCGCCUGGUGGACAUCCAUAUUAAUGCCAAGCUCGGCCUGUGUUCUGCUGCCAUGAGCCCCAGCUGAAGCCCAGACAGAGCAGCCUGAUCCCUCAGGACGCGCUCCUUUAUCUUCAUACCGGCACAUCCGCUGCGGCCCGAACUGUCACGAGACGUCUCAAAAGAUGUCUGGAGAUGUCCUCAAAACGUCUUCAGACGCCUUCUGAUGUUUCAAGAAGUUCCUGUGACGGCAAAGUUUGCGGACGUCUGGAGAGAAGAUUCGACUUUACUUUCAAAGUCGGGAACGCGGAGCUGAACGUUUUACGCACAAAGAGGAACGAAAACAAUCAUGUUAGGUUCAGGAGAGCUGCUGGUCAGCCAGAGAGGCAGAAAUAAUGAAUCCAUGCAGCUCUUCACGUCACAUGUUAAGAAACAAAAAGGAACGCUCUGGGGAGGAGAACACGUCCCGACCGCUGCGGCGACAAGCCGUUGUGUUUUAUCCUCCGCCUCGGUCCUUUAACUUCUGCUGCGUAAUUGCUUGUUCUCAGCCUUCCUCCACAGUGAGGAGGAGGAGGAGGAGGACUGUGUGUGUGUGAGUGUGUGUGUGUGAGAGAGAGAGAAAGAGGGGGUAAAUAUUUCUGGAUGUGCAGUUGUUUAUGUCUGAGAGGUAGAACUGUCUCACCGGGAGAGUCACAAAAAUACAGAAACAACACAGUGAGUCACAGCUGCUGUCUGUGCUGCUGAUAAUAGAACUCAAGAUUUCUAUCUGUCUCUUUAUUAACAGAAUAUUUAAGAUGGUGUUUUAUAAAAGAAAAAUGUGUUUCUACUUGUCAACAAACGCCGUGAAAAGUCUGAUUAGUCUCAUUAAUGAAAAAAUUUAAAAAAGGCUCAAUGAUUUCUUAAAAUAGCUGGGAACUGUUCAGCAUCGCUUCAAACACUUCACACUUUAUUCUAACCUAGAAAACUCUAGAAAACCUAGAGUCCCGUCUCACUAUGACGAGAAGCACCUUGGUUUUCCAUCCUCGACUGUGCAGGUAAACACUCGCGUCAGGCUGUCCUGAGAGAAAACGCCGUACCGCCGGGGAGCGAGCGAGCGAGCUGAGCUGAUGAGACUCAUGGACUCAGUCGAUGGCGUUUCUUCUUCUUCUUCUACAACUUCAACAACAACAAGAAAAUAACACGUUAAAAAACUUUGUUCAGCUGUUGUUUUAGCAUUAACAUCACAUUACCUGGAAAAACUAGCUAGCUAGUCGGCUGAAGGAAGCUGCACAUGUCAGAACCAGACAAAUAAUCACAUUCAGGAGACUUCCUACGACUUGUUUCAACAGUUUUAAUCAGAAGACGAAUUCAACACACGUCAACAAUAAAUCAAUAGUAUUUAUUUCCUUAUAUAUUUUUUUGAUAUUUAUUGUUACAAAAUGUGUAUAUGUGUAUGAAUGAUAUGAGGGAAACGUUAGCAUUUGGCUACUUCUCCUGAACAUCUGUUGUUUGGUUUCUUUUCCCUGAUAUUCAGCCAUUGUGGGUUUUUUUUCCACUUUCACAUUGUUUACAGUGUCAAUAAAUCACGUGUGGAACAAAUAUUAUGAAGCCACUUGGCAAAAAAAAACCUCUGACUUCCUCUAGUUUCUCAGGUGUGUAAUCCCGGAUGAUCUUUUACCAUCUUAAACUGUCGUAGAAAAACACAUAAUAACAAAUUUAUCACGCAAAAAUGUAAAGAUCUGUAAUAACCAUAACAUGCACACUGAACUGGACGUUUUUGGUUAAAAGGCUUGUGAUGAGAAAUGUCUGUAUGAGUCUGAUUUGAUAUUUUGGGGUGUAAUAUUAAAUAAUAUAUGAUUCAACUCAA